Molecule: long non-coding RNA, 642 nt
Organism: Bombus huntii
Lineage: Eukaryota; Metazoa; Arthropoda; Insecta; Hymenoptera; Apidae
Exons: 3
Source: RefSeq, a predicted model, not a curated record
UACCACAUCGAAAGAUUACGAAUUUAUCACACCUACAAUAGUAAUUAAAGAAUUUGAGAACCUCGCCUCGCCGCCUGAAGUUCCGUCUUCUUGAUUAUCUCACCUUUUUUUGGACACACGGAGUCUGCUGAAGUUUCGUCUUCUUGAUUAUCUUGUUUACGCUAUUUUUAAUUUUCCACAUCCUUGAGACACGUAGAUGCUGCUGAAGUUUCGUCUUCUUAAUUUCUCAUGUUUCGUUUGGUGUUAGUGACAUACGAGGUUAUGUUGGAUCAUGGAUACUGAUAUGUCUGAAGCUGUAGAAUGUGAGAAGAAGAAAAAAAGUCGUAGGCCGUUCAAACCUCCUCCGAAACGUUCUAGGAAACGUGGUCGUCGUGGCGGCGCAAAAGCUCGUGGGCAGAGGUUAAGGAGGCUGGAGGGAUCGUCUUCCACAGAGGGUAGCAAUAGUGUGGCUCCAGCCCCAUCGUCGAGUCUCGGUGAUCCUUUUGGUUAUUGAUCUAACCUUCUCCGAUGAGGACACCCUUCAGUUGCCGCCAAGUUCUCCUUCGAUCGAAGUGGUUGAUACAGAUGCCUGUGCCAAGGUUCGUUUUUGGGAGGAGAUCCCUGAUCAAGUGUUGGAGGCUUACCUACGCCACCAUUCCUCAG